RNAcentral lists this ribosomal RNA (226 nucleotides) under uncultured bacterium. RNAcentral's name for it is "partial 16S ribosomal RNA". It matches the Rfam family "Bacterial small subunit ribosomal RNA", at positions 29 to 239 of the family's 1533-position model. The record is from RNAcentral.
AACGAACGCUGGCGGCGUGGAUAAGACAUGCAAGUCGAACGGGACAUUGCUUGUAGCAAUACAAGUAAUGCCCAGUGGCGCAAGGGUGUGUAACACGUGGGCAAUCUACCGAAAAGUGGGGAAUAGCUCGCCGAAAGGCGAAUUAAUACCGCAUGUGGCCAAGGAAGACCUCUUCUGGCAGCCAAAGCUGGGGCAACCUAGCGCUUUUUGUAUGAGCCCGCCGGCC